RNAcentral lists this ribosomal RNA (253 nucleotides) under uncultured bacterium. RNAcentral describes it as "partial 16S ribosomal RNA". It matches the Rfam family "Bacterial small subunit ribosomal RNA", at positions 524 to 776 of the family's 1533-position model. The record is from RNAcentral.
UACGUAGGGGGCAAGCGUUGUCCGGAAUCAUUGGGCGUAAAGAGUGUGUAGGCGGUGCUCUAAGUUCGGUGUGAAAUCUCCCGGCUUAACUGGGAGGGUGCGCCGGAAACUGGAGUGCUCGAGCGUGGGAGAGGAAAGCGGAAUUCCUGGUGUAGCGGUGAAAUGCGUAGAUAUCAGGAGGAACACCUGCGGUGUAGACGGCUUUCUGGACCAUUGCUGACGCUGAGACACGAAAGCGUGGGUAGCAAACAGG